This 605-nucleotide ribosomal RNA is filed under the name Debaryomyces hansenii. RNAcentral's name for it is "eukaryotic LSU rRNA". It matches the Rfam family "Eukaryotic large subunit ribosomal RNA", at positions 47 to 667 of the family's 3401-position model. Lineage: Eukaryota; Fungi; Ascomycota; Pichiomycetes; Serinales; Debaryomycetaceae. The record is from RNAcentral.
UAAGCGGAGGAAAAGAAACCAACAGGGAUUGCCUUAGUAACGGCGAGUGAAGCGGCAAAAGCUCAAAUUUGAAAUCUGGCACCUUCGGUGUCCGAGUUGUAAUUUGAAGAAGGUAACUUUGGAGUUGGCUCUUGUCUAUGUUCCUUGGAACAGGACGUCACAGAGGGUGAGAAUCCCGUGCGAUGAGAUGCCCAAUUCUAUGUAAAGUGCUUUCGAAGAGUCGAGUUGUUUGGGAAUGCAGCUCUAAGUGGGUGGUAAAUUCCAUCUAAAGCUAAAUAUUGGCGAGAGACCGAUAGCGAACAAGUACAGUGAUGGAAAGAUGAAAAGAACUUUGAAAAGAGAGUGAAAAAGUACGUGAAAUUGUUGAAAGGGAAGGGCUUGAGAUCAGACUUGGUAUUUUGCGAUCCUUUCCUUCUUGGUUGGGUUCCUCGCAGCUUACUGGGCCAGCAUCGGUUUGGAUGGUAGGAUAAUGACUAAGGAAUGUGGCUCUACUUCGGUGGAGUGUUAUAGCCUUGGUUGAUACUGCCUGUCUAGACCGAGGACUGCGUCUUUUGACUAGGAUGUUGGCAUAAUGAUCUUAAGCCACCCGUCUUGAAACACGGACC